CCCAGGAGCCUUGGUGGGGGACAGGGGACAUAGCGUCCUGCCCCAGUCCUCCUCCCCACUCCAUCCCCCCCAGUCUUGGCCAACUCAAACAGCCCCCUCCCUGUCCAUUCCCUGCUCCUGUUUACACCGGGAGCCCCUUAGUCAUUCUCUGGCUAGCUUUUCUACUCUCCCCAAUAUCCCUCCUCUCUUGGCUCUGUCUGCCCUUAUAAGUCCUCUCCCAGUGGCCCCAACACCUCCUGCCUUCCCUCUCACCAGGGCUGCCUUUGCCUGGCCCUCCCUUCCUCUGCUCUGAGCCAGGCCUGAACUUAGGGUUCCCUCCUAGUUGGAGCGGCUUCAGCACAGCCCUCCAGGUUGGGAAGCUUCUGGAAGCUGGCCUAGAAAGGUCAGCCAGGAGGAACUCCCUAGAGGUCAUCAGCCCAACCCACUCCUUCAGAAGAGGAAAUGAGUGUAGAGAGAUGAAGUGACUUGUCCAAGGUUACAUGGCUAGCCAGUUAGUGGUGAGUCUAGACCCUAAGCGUUCUGACUCUAAACCCAUGCCCUCUGCUCUCAGCCAACUGCCCUCCAAAUGCCCUGUCUCCUCUCAGAUUUUUCUGUGUCUUGUGUGUCUCUCAGCGUGUCUCUGGCCCAGCCUCUGUCUCCAAAUGUCUCUGUUUUCUCUCUCAGAUCUGACCUCUCUGGCACCCUCUGCGCCUUCAUCGCUCAGUAGGAAUGAUUUGCUGUGAUGACUGACUAUUAUUAAUCAUGGUCUGCUUGAUGGAGGGGCAGAAGGGGUGAAGGGCAAGGGCAGAUACUCACCAGGCUCCUGCUGUCACCAGCCUGCCUGCCCUGGAGGCUGGAGCUUUUGAACCAGAAGAGUGAGUUUCCGCAGAGGCACUCAGGAUACAGCUCUCCAGCACUGAAGAUAUUAUGAUUGUCAUUUUACUGUCAGGAAACUGAGGCCCAGAGACUGAAGCAAUGAAGCUGAGAUCUACAGAAAGAAAGGGGCAGAGGUGGAAUCCAAAUUCGAUCUCAGCUGAUUCCAAAGCUGUGGCUUUCCCUUGCAUUGUUAGUUUAGCCCUCUGAACUGGGCUGGGUUUCCACAGGGGGAAGAUUCUGGAGUAAGGAUCUUUAACUUGGGUCCAUUGUCCCUAGGGUGGGGUGCGGGAAGAUUGGGUACACGAUUCAUUAAUUCUCUGAAACUGGAGGGAAGUUUUUUUUUUUUUUAGGAAG
This 1209-nucleotide long non-coding RNA is filed under the name Equus caballus (horse). Its description in RNAcentral is "lncRNA (ENSECAG00000050591.1)". Lineage: Eukaryota; Metazoa; Chordata; Mammalia; Perissodactyla; Equidae. The record is from RNAcentral.